Molecule: ribosomal RNA, 962 nt
Filed under: uncultured bacterium
Lineage: Bacteria
Description: bacterial SSU rRNA
Rfam family: Bacterial small subunit ribosomal RNA
Source: RNAcentral
UGCGGAACGAUGAAUCUCACUUGUGGGGGGAUUAGUGGCGAACGGGUGAGUAACACGUGAGUAACCUGCCCUUGACUCUGGGAUAAGCCUGGGAAACCGGGUCUAAUACUGGAUACGACCUUCCCGCGCAUGCGGUGUUGGUGGAAAGCUUUUGCGGUUUUGGAUGGACUCGCGGCCUAUCAGCUUGUUGGUGGGGUAAUGGCCUACCAAGGCGACGACGGGUAGCCGGCCUGAGAGGGUGACCGGCCACACUGGGACUGAGACACGGCCCAGACUCCUACGGGAGGCAGCAGUGGGGAAUAUUGCACAAUGGGCGCAAGCCUGAUGCAGCGACGCCGCGUGAGGGAUGAAGGCCUUCGGGUUGUAAACCUCUUUCAGUAGGGAAGAAGCCGGCCCUUGGGUUGGUGACGGUACCUGCAGAAGAAGCGCCGGCUAACUACGUGCCAGCAGCCGCGGUAAUACGUAGGGCGCAAGCGUUAUCCGGAAUUAUUGGGCGUAAAGAGCUCGUAGGCGGUUUGUCGCGUCUGCCGUGAAAGUCCGGGGCUUAACUCCGGAUCUGCGGUGGGUACGGGCAGACUAGAGUGCAGUAGGGGAGACUGGAAUUCCUGGUGUAGCGGUGAAAUGCGCAGAUAUCAGGAGGAACACCGAUGGCGAAGGCAGGUCUCUGGGCUGUAACUGACGCUGAGGAGCGAAAGCAUGGGGAGCGAACAGGAUUAGAUACCCUGGUAGUCCAUGCCGUAAACGUUGGGCACUAGGUGUGGGGGACAUUCCACGUUUUCCGCGCCGUAGCUAACGCAUUAAGUGCCCCGCCUGGGGAGUACGGCCGCAAGGCUAAAACUCAAAGGAAUUGACGGGGGCCCGCACAAGCGGCGGAGCAUGCGGAUUAAUUCGAUGCAACGCGAAGAACCUUACCAAGGCUUGACAUGAACCGGAAUGAUGCAGAGAUGUGUCAGCCACUUGUG